RNAcentral lists this ribosomal RNA (514 nucleotides) under uncultured bacterium. Its description in RNAcentral is "partial 16S ribosomal RNA". It matches the Rfam family "Bacterial small subunit ribosomal RNA", at positions 28 to 523 of the family's 1533-position model. The record is from RNAcentral.
GAUGAACGCUGGCGGCGUGCCUAAUACAUGCAAGUCGAGCGAACAGAUGAGAAGCUUGCUUCUCUGAUGUUAGCGGCGGACGGGUGAGUAACACGUGGGUAACCUACCUAUAAGACUGGGAUAACUCCGGGAAACCGGGGCUAAUACCGGAUAAUAUUUUGAACCGCAUGGUUCAAUAGUGAAAGACGGUUUCGGCUGUCACUUAUAGAUGGACCCGCGCCGUAUUAGCUAGUUGGUAAGGUAACGGCUUACCAAGGCGACGAUACGUAGCCGACCUGGUGGGGUGAUCGGCCACUCUGGAACUGAGACACGGUCCAGACUCCUACGGGAGGCAGCAGUAGGGAAUCUUCCGCAAUGGGCGAAAGCCUGACGGAGCAACGCCGCGUGAGUGAUGAAGGUCUUCGGAUCGUAAAACUCUGUUGUUAGGGAAGAACAAAUUUGUUAGUAACUGAACAAGUCUUGACGGUACCUAACCAGAAAGCCACGGCUAACUACGUGCCAGCCGCCGCAGUAA